This 398-nucleotide ribosomal RNA is filed under the name uncultured bacterium. RNAcentral's name for it is "bacterial SSU rRNA". It matches the Rfam family "Bacterial small subunit ribosomal RNA", at positions 29 to 408 of the family's 1533-position model. The record is from RNAcentral.
AGCGAACGCUGGCGGCGUGCUUAACACAUGCAAGUCGAGCGAGAAAGGGGGCCUCGGCCCCUGAGUACAGCGGCGAACGGGUGAGUAAUACAUGAGCAAUCUAUCCUUGAGGCGGGAAUAACCCAGCGAAAAGUUGGGCUAAUACCGGAUGAGACCACAGGAGGAAACUCCAAGGGUCAAAAGGCAGCUUUUCUUUUGGGAGCGGCCCUUCGAAGAGGAGCUCAUGUCCUAUCAGCUAGUUGGUAGGGUAACGGCCUACCAAGGCGAAGACGGUAGCUGGUCUUAGAGGAUGAUCAGCCACACGGGGACUGAGACACGGCCCCGACUCCUACGGGAGGCAGCAGUGGGGAAUAUUGGGCAAUGGGCGAAAGCCUGACCCAGCGACGCCGCGUGGGUGA